GACGAACCGUGCGAACGUUGUUCGGAAUCACUGGGCCUAAAGGGCGCGUAGGCGGCUUAUCAAGUCAGGGGUGAAAUCCGGCAGCUUAACUGUCGAAGUGCCCUUGAUACUGACGAGCUCGAGGGAGAUAGGGGUGUGUGGAACUUCCGGUGGAGCGGUGAAAUGCGUUGAUAUCGGAAGGAACGCCGGUGGCGAAAGCGACACACUGGAUCUCUUCUGACGCUGAGGCGCGAAAGCCAGGGGAGCAAACGGG
This 253-nucleotide ribosomal RNA is filed under the name uncultured bacterium. RNAcentral's name for it is "partial 16S ribosomal RNA". It matches the Rfam family "Bacterial small subunit ribosomal RNA", at positions 524 to 776 of the family's 1533-position model. The record is from RNAcentral.